RNAcentral lists this long non-coding RNA (5811 nucleotides) under Homo sapiens (human). RNAcentral describes it as "HSALNT0381518". Lineage: Eukaryota; Metazoa; Chordata; Mammalia; Primates; Hominidae. The record is from RNAcentral.
AGACAGUGAGUCGGCCCAUACCUGCUGUGUGAAAGAAUCCAAACCUGGGGCCGGGCGCGGUGGCUCACACCUGUAAUCCCAGCACUUCGGCAGGCCAAGAUUAGGCGGAUCACCUGAGGUCAGGAGUUCGAGACCAGCCUGGCCAACAAUGGUGAAACCCCAUUUCUACUAAAAAUACAAAAAAUUAGCUGGGCAUGGUGGCGGGCGCCUGUAAUCCCAGCUACUCAGGAGGCUGAGGCAGGAGAAUCACUUGAACCUGGGAGGCGGAGGUUGCAGUGAGUCGAGAUAGCGCCACUGCACUCCAGCCUGGGCAACAAGAGCGAAACUCUGUCUCAAAAAAAAAAAAAAAGAAAAAAAAAAGAAAUAAUAAAAAAAGAAGAAUCCAAACCUGCCCAGAGAGAGGCCUGGCUUUUGCCCUCCGCCCUCGGGAAGUCAUCUCUGAGCCCUUGGUGUCUCGCGCAUGAGGAGGGUCUGACUGCCUGGGGCCCUCAGGCCAGCCCGACAGCAAGAUGGAUUUGGGGUGGAGUUUGGGCCAGGUGGUAUCCUUGAGCUUCCGGGGCUGGAGGCUGAGGUCAGCCACACAGAUCGGGGAGGAGUCCCCAGUAAGAACCCGGGACACCAAGAUCUGAGGAGGGUCCCUGGCUGGCAACACUCCCUGCGUGCCGGGAGGAGUGAAGGGAGAGGACAGCUGAUAACUGGUCUCCGUGGAGCCUUCCGGGCCCUCUUCCUGGCUGCUUCCAGCGCGUCCUUCUCUGUGAUAAGCCGUGACUGUGAACAUGGCUGUGAGUCCUUCUAGAGAACUCGCAAGUAUGCCAAGGUCUUGGGGGCCCUACUGACUUGCAGCUGGUGUUGGAUGGAGCCCCACAUGGACUGUCCCUCCUUGCUGCGCCAUGGCCUCCCCACCGUGGGUCACACUGGUUUUCGGGGGCUAAGCAGCGGUUUUCCCUCCGCUUCCUCCUGGCUUCCCCGCUCCCCUGCCUCCUCCCCUCCCCCGUCGCAGCCCCGUCAGGCUCACCCAGAACUCUUCCAGCAGGGCCACCGCCUCCUCCCAGCUUAGCGGCUGACGGCUGCACACCCAGGCCUGCGUGUCGGCUGGCAGCGCGCUCAGAAACUGCUCCAGCACCAGCAGCUCCAGCAUCUGCUCCUUGGUGUGCACCUCGGGCCGCAGCCGGUCCCGGCACAGGGCGCGUAGCAGCCCCAGCGCCUCGUGCGGGCCCGGCGCCUCGCCCAGGUGGAAGCGGCGGAAGCGGUGCCACGAGGAGCCCAGCGCCAGGCCCUCGGCCUCCUGCUUCAGCGGCACCGUCAGCUCCAUGGGGCCUCCUGGACGGCAGCGCCUGCCCCGCGUGGCCCAGGGUGCAAAGAGGUCUCUGUGAGGGGCGGCGCUCACUCGGGCGGUGAGGAAAGGGUGUCUGUCUCGUGGGAUCCCACGGAGUCAAGUGCCGGCUCUGCCCCUCGUUGGGCCCCUUCCGCGGCUUCUGUACCUCAGUCCUGCAGCUCCUCCCGCAGCCUGUCCUACAGCACAAAGGCUCUGGAGCAAAUUCCAGCUCUGCCUCCCACCAGCUCUGUGUCCUUGGACAAGGUACAAGGCACCUUUUGUAAUACACUGUCUCUCCAUGUCCUUGGCUCACUCUCUCAGGCGAGGCCUCCCAAGCCUCUUUACCUCCGCGCACAUGUGCACAGAGCUCACCGGAACUCCUCUUACACAUUUUUGAUUAUUCGUUGCUGGUACCUAGAAAUACUAUUUUUGUGUAUUGAUCCUUCUAGCCAGUGACUUUGCAGAAUUUACUUAUUAAUUCUAGUAGCUUUACUUUAGAUGACUUAGGGUUUUCCAUGUAUACGAUCAUGUCUUCUGGGAAUAAAGGCAGCAUUAUAUCCUCCUUACCAAUUUCAAUGCCUUUUCUCUCCCUUGCCUUGCUGCAUUGGCUGGUGUCUCCAAUAGAGUGUCGAAAAGAAGUGCCGAGGGUAGACAUUCUUGCACAGUUCCCAAUUUUAGAAAGAAAGCAUUCGGGCUUUCACCAUCAUUAAGUGUGGUGUCAACCUUGAGUUUGUCACUUACACCCUUUAUGAGGCUGAGGAAAUUCCCUUCUGUUCCUAAAAUGCUCAGUUUUUAUUACAAAUGGGUAUUAAAUUCUGUCAAGGGCCGGGCGCAGUGGCUUACGCCUGUAAUCCCAGCAUUUUGAGAGGCCUAGGUGGGCGGAGUUUGAGACCAGCCUGGCCAACAUAGUGAAACCCCGUCUCUACUAAAAAUUCAAAAAAAAAAAAAAAAAAAAAAAAAAAAGCCAGGCGUGGUGGCACUGGCCUGUACUCCCAGCUACUUGGGAGGCUGAGGCAGGAGAAUCUCUUGAACCCAGGAGGCGGAGGUUGUGGUGAGCGGAUAUUGAGGCAUUGCACUCCAGCCUGGGCAACAGAGUGAGACUCGAUCUAAAAAAAAAAAAAAAAUUCUGUCAAAUGCUUUUUCUAUAUCUGUUGAGAUGAUAUGAUGGUAUUGACAGGGGUUUUCCCCUUCAUUCUGUUAAUAUGGUGAAUUACAUUGAUAUUAAAAUAUUAAACCAAUCUUGUAAGUCAGGGAAAAUUGACACUUGGUUAUGGUUAUAUAUAUAUAUAUCUUACUGGAUUUGAUUUGUUAAAAUUAAAAACUUUUCUUUUUCGAAACCACUUUAUUGGCCUGGUGCAGUGGUGCACGUCUGUAAUCACAGGACUUUGGGAGGCUGAGUUGGAGACCAACAUGGACAACAUGACGAAACUCUGUCUCCACUAAAAAUACAAAAAUUAGCUGGGGGUGGUGGUGCACGCCUGUAGUCCCAGCUACUCAGGAGGCUGAGGUGGAAGUCACUUGAGCCCAGGAGGUCAAAGCUGCAGUGAGCUAAGAUCCCACCAGUGUACCCCAGCCUGGGAGACAGAGCAAGACCUUAUCUCAAAACAAACAAACAAAAAACAAAGCAACAACAACAACAAAAAAGCUGCUGCAGUGGCUCACGUCUGUAAUCCCAACACUUUGGGAGCGUGGGGGGGGGCGGGGGGGGUGGAUCACCUGAGGUCAGGAGUUCGAGACCAGCCUGGCCAACAUGGUGAAACUCUGUCUAUACUGAAAAUACAGAAUUAGCCAGGUGUGGUGGCACACACAUGUAGUCCCAGGUACUCGGGAGGCUGAGACAGGAGAAUCUCUUGAACCCAGGAGGUGGAGACUGCAGUGAGCUGAGAUUCCACCACUGCACUCCAGCCUGGGCAAGACAGAGCAAGACUCUGUCUCAAAAACAAAACACAUACACACACACACACACACACACACACACACACAACCAGAUUAUUUUAUUGAGAUAGAAUUCAUAUGCCAUACAAUUCAAUUCACCCACUUAAAGUGUACAAUUAUUUUAGUAUAUCGUCAGAUACACACAACUAUCACCACAAUGAUUUUUAGAACAUUUUCAUCACCUCAUGAAGAAAUCCUAUACUUUUCUCUUUAUUUUGAGACAGAGUUUGGCUCUUGUUGGCCGGGCUGGAGGGCUGGGAUUACAGGCGUGAGCCACCACCGCACCUGGCCAGAAAUCCUAUACUCUUUAGCUGUCACUGUUGACCCUCUCUCCCCGAGGCAUAAACAUCCACUAAUCUACCUUAUCUUCAGAGUUUACUGUAGAGAUUUUAUUAAAUGAAAUAAUAUAAAAUGUUAUCUUUGCGACUGGCUUUUUUCCCUUAGCAUGAUGUUUUCAAGGCUCAUCUGUGUUGUGGUAUACAGCAGUACUUCAUUUCUUUCUCGAUUUGAAUAAUGUUCCAUUGUAUGAUCUACCACAUACUGUUCAUCCAUUCAUCAGCUGAUGGGCAUUUAGGCUGUUUUCACCUUUUAUCUAUUGUGAAUAAUGCCAUUAUGAACAUUCCUAUACAAGUUUUUGUGUGUACAUGUGUUUUUAUUACCUUGGGGGUAUGUAUCUGGGAAUGAAUUGCUGGGUCAUAUGGAAACUCUGUAUUUAAUCAAUGAGAGAACUGCCAGAUUGUUUUCCAAAGUGACUGCACCAAUUUAUAUUCCCAUCAGUCAUAUAUGAGGGUCUGAUUUUUGUUUUCUCACCAACACGUACCUUUUUUUUUGACACAGGGUCUCACUCUGUUGCUCAGGCUAGACUGCAGUGACAUGAUCAUGGCUCACUGCAGCCUCAGCCUUCCUGGGCUCAGGUGAUCCUCCCACCUCAGCUUCCUGAGUAGCUGGGACUUCAGGCACAUGCUACCACACCCAGCUAAUUUUUUAACAUGGUUUAGAGUUAACUGUUUACUUCCUGGGAGUGGGGAAAUUUUCUCUUUAUCAAAAGUUGGCCCUAAUAUUCUAAGAGUUAUAGGUAAAUGUGAAUCAAUAUGUCAGUUCCCCAUCUCCCCGCUCAUCUUUCUUAACUUUGUAGCUUAAUGACAUGAAUAUACAGAGCGAACAGACUUUGGUCUAAAUAUCAAAGUUUAUUGAAAUAAAAUAUAAUCUAUAAUAAAAAAUACUACAGGUGUUAUUCACUGGUUACAGUUUUAAGUAUAUUAACAAAAACAGCCAACAUUUUAACCCAACAAUGACACUAUCUUUGUGGUACAAUAACAAACAUGAAAGUAAAUGUUGAAUAAUACUGAAUAAUUCUGUCAGAAAUAUUUUAUACUUUACCAUCUAUGUAUGCCUUUUAAGGAAUAUCCUCCCAAAGUGAAAGUUUUGAAACUGAUGACAUUGUUUUUAAGAAUUAAGUAGUUUUAAAAUAAUUAGUAUUUAAAACAAAUUUAUUUCACAGAAAUUCAGUUCAACCCUAAGCUGGGUAGAUGGUUUUAGGUAUCUUUAUGCAAAAAAUGUAUUUCAAUGCUCUUUCCUAUGAAUCUCUAGGGUUGUUAUUAUUCCUCAAUUGAAAUUAAAGCUGGUCAUAAAGCAAAACAGAUGAAUUAUUUCAGAAGUAAAAUGGGUAUUAAGAUAAAAAAUGAAAGGAGGAGGAAAAAAUAGGCACUCAUACGUAAUCUAUAUAUUAAAACGCUUUGAGAACUCAGUAGCCAGUCUUGGCCUGGCACAAAGAGAUCUUUGAUAUGUCACAGCAAAUUGACCCAAUUAGUCCAACAAUAAAGUGGAGAAAGAAAACUUGUUUCUCUUCCUUGCUAUAUUUCAAGAUAAUUUUCUCUGUAGUCAUUAUACCAUUCCACUUGCUACUCCUCAAAAUAUGUGCCUCAAUCCAAUUAUUCUGCACAAUUCAAGGAAAAGAUUCACACGCACUAGCUUUAGGAAAUGACUUUCAGGGUACCUCUGAAGUUUCACAAGCAAACAUGAUUCCUUUUGCUGACUGUUUUGUAGCAUUCACACACCAAUCUCCUGUUAUACUGUCCUACUUGUAAUGUGUGAAUCUGUAACAAGCUGUCAUUUAUUAAGCAAGAUAGUCUUUUAACAAAAACCUCUGAGGGCUUUUCAAAACCUCAUCUUUAAAAAUCUGUAAAACAAAGAUACCCUAUGUACCCUGAAAAAACUGCUUAUUUCACAUAUGUGAAAAACAAUAAUAAAAAUUCUGACAAAAUUGAGAGACAUACAAGACAGGUCUUCAAGGAUUAAAUACUGUUUGUCUUAAAACAUGUUGCAAUUAUGUUCACAAUGUAAGGUUCAUUAAAAAUUUUUAAAAAACACAUUGCAUUAGUUAGAACUGCUUUGUAAGGUAUUUCAGUUACAAGGCCUAUUUUGACAGAUCACUGAUUUGAGAACUUAAAUGGGAAUUUCAGUUUCUUGACUUUUUUUUUUUUUUUUUUUUGAGAUAUAAGAGUCUCGCUCAGUCGCCCAGGCUGGAGUGCAGUGGGGCAAUCUUGGCUCACUGCAACCUC